This 253-nucleotide ribosomal RNA is filed under the name uncultured bacterium. RNAcentral describes it as "partial 16S ribosomal RNA". It matches the Rfam family "Bacterial small subunit ribosomal RNA", at positions 524 to 776 of the family's 1533-position model. The record is from RNAcentral.
GACGGAAGGUGCAAGCGUUGCUCGGAAUCACUGGGCGUAAAGCGCACGUAGGUGGUUCGGUAAGUGCGAUGUGAAAGCCCCCGGCCCAACCGGGGAACUGCAUCGCAGACUGCCGAGCUUGAGAGCGGUAGGGGAGACUAGAACUCCUGGUGGAGCGGUGAAAUGCGCAGAUAUCAGGAGGAACACCAAUGGCGAAGGCAGCUCGCUGGGACGUGACUGACGCUGAGACGCGAAAGCGUGGGGAGCAAACAGG